GGUUGCUGUUUUCUUUCAUGUAAUUUGAUCCUCUUUGACCCCUGGUAGGUGAAGUGGUACCUUGGUGUGUCAUCGUGUCUUGGCUGUAGGAUGAAGGAGAUCAAGAUGACACUCAGUGAAGAUGAUAGGAGCAGUGACCAGGCAUCAAAACUCUGUCCAGCCUGUCUGAAGCAACCUUUUCCCAGAAACAAGGUUCCUUUACACUGAUGACAAGAGAAGGCRUUGGUAAGAAGAAUUAGUAUAAACAAAUCAAAUAUUGCUGAAGACAGGGUUUGAUCUCCCUGCCCCGGGCCUUUCUUUAGGUAUUCUCCCCUGGUCGUGUGAGUCUACUGUUGUACCUCUUCACCAGGAAGCAACUAAGAUGCAAGACUCUUCCCUUCCCCAGAGCGUUUCAGUGAGCUCAUGACUGGUUGAAAUACACCUUACAAGGGGCGAUAGUGUGUG
RNAcentral lists this long non-coding RNA (444 nucleotides) under Dromaius novaehollandiae (emu). RNAcentral's name for it is "lncRNA (ENSDNVG00000016967.1)". The record is from RNAcentral. Lineage: Eukaryota; Metazoa; Chordata; Aves; Casuariiformes; Dromaiidae.